GCGUGCGUAACGCGUAUACAAUCUGCCUUUAAGCGGGAAAUAGCCCAUGGAAACGUGGAUUAAUGUCCCAUAGUAUGGAGACUUCACCUGGAGAUUUCAUUAAACAUUUAUGGCUUAAAGAUGAGUAUGCGUCCUAUUAGUUAGUUGGUAAGGUAACGGCUUACCAAGACCGCGAUAGGUAGGGGUCCUGAGAGGGAGAUCCCCCACACUGGUACUGAGACACGGACCAGACUCCUACGGGAGGCAGCAGUGAGGAAUAUUGGACAAUGGAGGCAACUCUGAUCCAGCCAUGCCGCGUGCAGGAAGACGGCCCUAUGGGUUGUAAACUGCUUUUAUACGGGAAGAACCACAUCUACGUGUAGAUGCUUGACGGUACCGUA
RNAcentral lists this ribosomal RNA (380 nucleotides) under marine bacterium SIMO-IS108. Its description in RNAcentral is "bacterial SSU rRNA". It matches the Rfam family "Bacterial small subunit ribosomal RNA", at positions 100 to 482 of the family's 1533-position model. The record is from RNAcentral. Lineage: Bacteria; Pseudomonadati; Bacteroidota.